RNAcentral lists this ribosomal RNA (432 nucleotides) under uncultured eukaryote. RNAcentral describes it as "bacterial SSU rRNA". It matches the Rfam family "Eukaryotic small subunit ribosomal RNA", at positions 592 to 1018 of the family's 1831-position model. The record is from RNAcentral.
CAAUAGCGUAUACUAAAGUUGUUGCAGUUAAAAAGCUCGUAGUCGAAUAUAGGUUGUUUGGAUGCGCGAGCACUCUUGUUUAACUUGGGAUGCUUGCGCCCAUUAACCGCCCUUGUGGGGUUCGAUGUUCUUGAUUAUCAAGAACAACAAAUCAAUCCCACACAUUACUGUGAACAAAAUAGAGUGUUCAUGGCAGGCCAUUAGGGCUUGAAUACCGCAGCAUGGAAUAAUAGAAUAGGACUUCCGGUUCUAUUUUAUUGGUUUUUGGAGCCGAAGUAAUGAUUAAUAGGGAUAGUUGGGGGCACUCGUACUCCGUUGUCAGAGGUGAAAUUCUUGGAUUGACGGAAGACGAACAACUGCGAAAGCAUCUGCCAAGGAUGUUUUCAUUGAUCAAGAACGAAAGUUAGGGGAUCGAAGACGAUCAGAUACCAU